Gambusia affinis (western mosquitofish) is the source of this 959-nucleotide long non-coding RNA. RefSeq lists it as uncharacterized. The transcript is spliced from 4 exons. The record is from RefSeq and is a predicted model, not a curated record. Lineage: Eukaryota; Metazoa; Chordata; Actinopteri; Cyprinodontiformes; Poeciliidae.
AUAUAUAUGUAUAUAUAUGUGUUGAAAUGUGCUAUAGAAGUAAACUUAAAUAAUUGAUUGAACAGAAAUGAUUAAAAGAAGUGACCUUCCUGAUAAAAGAUUAAACAUUGCGGGUGAGAGAUACCAUCUUACUGUUGUUUCCUAAUUAAAGAAAGAUGUAUGAUAAACUAUUUAACUUUGAAAUAUUGAAUGAAAGUUACAAAAUAUAACUCAAAUAAAUUUGUUUUCUUGUUUCUGAAAAAAAAUCUGACCUUGUGUGCUUCAGAAACAAAAUGGAUUUCUCCUUUUGUUGUACCCCUCCUACUCUAUCAACAUGGUACAGUCCAUCAAGGCCAGGUGCAAGCCAUUAGUAUUAAUUGAACUUCUUUUGCGUGGAAGAAGAGGUAAGACUCAUACAGAAUCUCUUAAGACAUUUAAGUACAUAUUGAUUUGUAAUUCUGAAGAAUGUUGUAGGUUACUUGAUGUUUGGAUGCACCAAAGCAUCUGAUUUGCUUCAGUUUAGCUAGUUAUCACCAACCAUCUUAGUCAGUGUACCAGAGUUUAAAGGGAAGGUGGCUCACUCCAGAAUUAGACAAAACUGUAUUUGGACAUUUUCUGUGCAUCAGAGAUGUCAGCAACAAGGUCUCAGAGAGCAAAAAGAAAUCCCAAACAUGAUGCCAGCUAUUAUUCUCCUUGGGUGAAGAUAAAGAGGGAUUUGAUGUAAAAUACAUCAAUUCAUUUAAAGGUCGGGGUGUGUUCAGCUGCCAGUGCUUUCAAAAAGGAGAUUUCCUUAUUGAGUGCAGAGGGGAAGUCAUAAGUAGGAAGGAACAAGAAAACCGAUUGAAAAUUUACCAUGAUGCACUCCAGGCUUUUAUGUUUGAUUUCAAGUUCAAUGGACAACAGCUUUGAUUUCCAAAGAUGAAUUGUGUCAGGCUGGUGAUGUGGAAACAUGCGGAUCCUGUUCAACCAACCCUCCACAG